GGAGUGUCUGGACCUCCGGAGUCGCCUUGCGGGAGGAGGCUUCAAACCACCUACCGGGGCCUUGGCUAAAGACCGUGGUCUUGAACGGUGUAGGAAAAGGCGCGGCUGAGAUCGUGUCAGGU
Molecule: non-coding RNA, 122 nt
Organism: Saccharothrix sp. ALI-22-I
Lineage: Bacteria; Bacillati; Actinomycetota; Actinomycetes; Pseudonocardiales; Pseudonocardiaceae
Source: Rfam